ACGCACGAGGAGACAUCUCCUUGUGUGAAAAACUCCGGUGGUACAGGAUGGGCCCGCGUCUGAUUAGCUGGUUGGCAGGGUAACGGCCUACCAAGGCAACGAUCAGUAGCCGGUCUGAGAGGAUGAACGGCCACAUUGGAACUGAGACACGGUCCAAACUCCUACGGGAGGCAGCAGUGGGGAAUAUUUGCACAAUGGGGGAAAACCCUGAUGCAGCAACGCCGCGUGAGUGAAGAAGUAUUUCGGUAUGUAAAGCUCUAUCAGCAGGGAAGAUAAUGACGGUACCUGACUAAGAAGCUCCGGCUAAAUACGUGCCAGCAGCCGCGGUAAUACGUAUGGAGCAAGCGUUAUCCGGAUUUACUGGGUGUAAAGGGUGCGUAGGUGGCAGUGCAAGUCAGAUGUGAAAGGCCGGGGCUCAACCCCGGAGCUGCAUUUGAAACUGCUCGGCUAGAGUACAGGAGAGGCAGGCGGAAUUCCUAGUGUAGCGGUGAAAUGCGUAGAUAUUAGGAGGAACACCAGUGGCGAAGGCGGCCUGCUGGACUGUUACUGACACUGAGGCACGAAAGCGUGGGGAGCAAACAGGAUUAGAUACCCUGGUAGUCCGCGCCGUAAACGAUGAAUACUAGGUGUCGGGGCCGUAUAGGCUUCGGUGCCGCCGCUAA
Molecule: ribosomal RNA, 662 nt
Filed under: uncultured bacterium
Lineage: Bacteria
Description: bacterial SSU rRNA
Rfam family: Bacterial small subunit ribosomal RNA
Source: RNAcentral